RNAcentral lists this microRNA precursor (58 nucleotides) under Dasypus novemcinctus (nine-banded armadillo). Its description in RNAcentral is "miRNA (ENSDNOG00000032703.1)". Lineage: Eukaryota; Metazoa; Chordata; Mammalia; Cingulata; Dasypodidae. The record is from RNAcentral.
ACAAAGAGCUGUGGUAGAAAGUGAAAUUAAAAAUCACUUUCUACCACAGCUGUUGUUU